AUUGAACGCUGGCGGCAUGCCUUACACAUGCAAGUCGAACGGCAGCGGACCUUCGGGUGCCGGCGAGUGGCGAACGGGUGAGUAAUAUAUCGGAACGUACCUUUCAGUGGGGGAUAACGUAGCGAAAGUUACGCUAAUACCGCAUAUUCUGUGAGCAGGAAAGCAGGGGAUCGCAAGACCUUGCGCUGAUUGAGCGACCGAUAUCAGAUUAGCUAGUUGGUGAGGUAAAGGCUCACCAAGGCGACGAUCUGUAGCGGGUCUGAGAGGAUGAUCCGCCACACUGGAACUGAGACACGGUCCAGACUCCUACGGGAGGCAGCAGUGGGGAAUUUUGGACAAUGGGCGCAAGCCUGAUCCAGCCAUGCCGCGUGAGUGAAGAAGGCCUCGG
RNAcentral lists this ribosomal RNA (388 nucleotides) under uncultured bacterium. Its description in RNAcentral is "bacterial SSU rRNA". It matches the Rfam family "Bacterial small subunit ribosomal RNA", at positions 30 to 420 of the family's 1533-position model. The record is from RNAcentral.